AGAGUUUGAUCCUGGCUCAGAAUGAACGCUGGCGGCGUGCCUAACACAUGCAAGUCGUGCGAGAAAGCUCCUUCGGGAGUGAGUACAGCGGCGGACGGGUGAGUAACGCGUGGACAACCUGCCCGGAGAUUCGGGAUAACCCUGCGAGAGCGGGGCUAAUACCGGAUAGUCUUCACGGGACCCAGGUCCUUUGAGGUAAAGAUGGCCUCUGAUGCAAGCUGUCGUCUCCGGAUGGGUCCGCGUCCCAUUAGCUCGUUGGUGGGGUAACGGCCCACCAAGGCAACGAUGGGUAGCCGGCCUGAGAGGGUGAACGGCCACACUGGGACUGGAACACGGCCCAGACACCUACGGGUGGCAGC
Molecule: ribosomal RNA, 359 nt
Filed under: uncultured bacterium
Lineage: Bacteria
Description: bacterial SSU rRNA
Rfam family: Bacterial small subunit ribosomal RNA
Source: RNAcentral